Molecule: ribosomal RNA, 520 nt
Filed under: uncultured Archaeospora
Lineage: Eukaryota; Fungi; Glomeromycota; Glomeromycetes; Archaeosporales; Archaeosporaceae
Description: SSU rRNA
Rfam family: Eukaryotic small subunit ribosomal RNA
Source: RNAcentral
CCAAUAGCGUAUAUUAAAGUUGUUGCAGUUAAAAAGCUCGUAGUUGAAUUUUUGAUUCUGCCAAUUGGUCCAUCUUUUAGAUGAGUACUGGUUGUGUGGGGUCUAUCCGCCUGGUGAUACGUAAUGUCCUUUAUUGGAUGUUGCGGGUAGUCAGGACCUUUACCUUGAAAAAAUUAGAGUGUUUAAAGCAGGCUUAUGCCGGAAUACAUUAGCAUGGAAUAAUAGAAUAGGACGAAGUUGUUUUAUUUUGUUGGUUUCUAGGACAACCGUAAUGAUUAAUAGGGAUAGUGGGAGGCAUUAGUAUUCAAUUGUCAGAGGUGAAAUUCUUGGAUUUAUUGAAGACUAACUACUGCGAAAGCAUUUGCCAAGGAUGUUUUCAUUAAUCAAGAACGAAAGUUAGGGGAUCGAAGACGAUCAGAUACCGUCGUAGUCUUAACCAUAAACUAUGCCGACUAGGGAUCGGGCGAUGUUGUUUCCAUGACUCGCUCGGCACCUUAUGGGAAACCAAAGUGUUGGGUUC